CACGGCUCAAGUGGCUCUGGAUUUCCUCGCAGACACCUGAGAUCCCAGGCCCGAGAGGAUGAAGGCGGGAUUACCUGGAGCGUGUCUGAAUGCUGGAGGAAGAAGGGCAGCUGGGAGAUGAAGCUGUCAGGAUGGGCCGCAUCCCAUUUCCUGCCUCGUUUCAGUUCAACUUUCCAACAGACCUCCCUGGCUCGUCUUGCUCUUCUCUAAUGGACAAACAAACAGGCUCAGAGAGGUGGUGUGACUUGCCCAAGGUCACUCAGCUUGGAUGCUAUGGAACAGGGACGUCCACUGUCCCAGUCUGUUUAUGGGAAGCCGCUCUGCAACUGUCCUGACCCACCACAUGCCCCACCGCUGUUUCUCUUGCCCUGACCCCUUGUUCCCUGGACCAGGGUGGCACAGCUCCAGGCUCUUGGGCCCUUCCCGAGGGCAGGCACCUGUGACUGUGUCCCCAAAGACCUGAGUGGCUGAGGGGGCCCCACAGAGCUUGGACUUCCUGGAGGACAAGGAGGGGUCUGCCAGCCACCCCCACCACGCCCGCCCCAGGGCUCCCCUGGAGCUUCCAUGCCAGCCGGACUCAGGACCCCUGUGAUCACACUGGCCCCCCCACCGGAUGACCCAGGAUAAUCCAUCUCCCUGUUUGAAGGUCGGCUGAUUAGCAACCUUCAUUCCAUCUGCCUCCUUCAUUCCCCCUGGCCAUGUAAUGGGAUUCACAGCUUCUGGGGAUUAGGACAUGGACAUCUUGUGGCGGGGGCAUAAUUCUGUCGACGACACCAAGAAACACUUGGAUGUUAAGGAUUCACCGAACACUGUUCAGGCUCCAGGUGCUGGGAGCAGCAGUGAACAAAGCCAACAGACACUGCCACCCUCAAGGAGUUCACGUUCAUGGGCGAGGGAACAGAUGAGAAACCCGGCAAUGAAAGUAAGUAGCAUAAUUGACUUGAAAAGUGCCGGGGAGAAAGAGAAGAUGGAUGGAGAAUGACACCUGGCCCCUUCUCUAUUUCUUUAUUUGUUUCACUCUUGUUGCCCAGGCUGGAGUGCAAUGGCACAAUCUCAGCUCACUGCGACCUCUGCCUCCCAGCUUCAAGUGAUUCUGCUGCCUCAGCCUCCCAAGUAGCUUGGAUUACAGGCAUGCACGCCCAGCUCAUUUUUUUUUUUUUUUUUUUUAGUAGAGACGGGGUUUACACCAUGUUGGCCAGGCUGGUCUCAAACUCGUGACCUCAGGUGAUCCACCUGCAUCGGCCUCCCAAAGUGCUGGGAUUACAGGCAUGAGCCACCGUGCCCAGCUCCCCUUCUCUAUUUCUAAGGUGACCCAGAUUCCUUUACUGCUUUCUGGCAAAUCCACCUCUGGCCAGGCAGUAGGCCGGCAACGCAGGGCUUGAAGGCCAUAAUGGGGACGUUUGUCUAAUGGUGAGAAAGGAAACACUGGAAGGUUUUUGCUUCCCUUUUUAAAAAAUU
Molecule: long non-coding RNA, 1458 nt
Filed under: Homo sapiens (human)
Lineage: Eukaryota; Metazoa; Chordata; Mammalia; Primates; Hominidae
Description: non-protein coding SLC25A25-AS1:12
Source: RNAcentral